This is a long non-coding RNA of Aegilops tauschii subsp. strangulata, 1586 nucleotides long. RefSeq lists it as uncharacterized. The record is from RefSeq and is a predicted model, not a curated record. NCBI's taxonomy places the organism in Eukaryota, Viridiplantae, Streptophyta, Magnoliopsida, Poales, Poaceae.
GCAGUAGCGCUGGUUGCGAAAUGCGCUGCUGCUAAUAAGAUAGCAGUAGCGAGCUUUUGGCACAAGCGCUACUGCUAAGCGGGGCCCGACAUGUGGCCAGUUUCAAAAUUAGCAGUAGCGACCUGCCAAAAAAGUGCGCUACUACUAUUAUUUUAGCAGUAGCGCGGUUAUCGUGAGCGCGCUACUGCUAAACCUAGGGUGGCGGGAACGGUCGGUCAAUUUUAGUAGCAGCUUGGUUCGACAAAGCCGCGCUGCUGCUAAGUUGGUAUCAGUAGCGGUUGUCUGUGGCGCCUCUUCCUGACCCGCGCUGCUGAUAAGAUUCUGUGUAUAAGGUUUUUCCUAGUAGUGUUUGUAUGCGCUUGAAAACCAUGGCUCCCAAGAAGAGAUCAAAUGUUCUUAAGCCGGUGGUUAGCAAAGCCGCCAAGUGGAUCAAGUCUUGCAUGACAGAACUCAUGCUCGAUGAAUUGGCGAGAGUUGGUUUGCUACCAGCCAAGGACCAGAUCGAAUGGCGAACUCCAGAGGAGGAGACUCGGCCACUGCCACGUCAAGGAGAAAUUGUCAUCUUUGCGGAUCACUUGGACAGGGGAUUCCGAUCGCCGGGUUCCAAGUUUUUCCGCGACAUCCUGAAUUUUUAUGACAUCAGACCCCAGGACCUUGGCCCUAAAUUGGUCCUUAAUUUAAGCAAUUUUCAAGUCUUUUGCGAAGUCUGUCUUCAAAUAGAUCCGACUGUCAGCCUCUUCCAAGAGUUCUUUUACCGCAAUAGACAAACUGAGUGCAGUAGAGGGCCAAGUCUGGAAUGCGGAGGGGUUACGAUCUACAGCCGAAGGACUUGUGCCUUCCCUGAAAUGAAACUGGCGAGUCAUCCAAAAGGAUGGCAGAAGAUUUGGUUUUGCUGCAAGGAUACUUCCCCAAACCAUCAACAUCAAUUGCCGGGUUACGGAUAUGGUCGGCUUGAAUCCACAAAGCAGUUUGCUUCUUAUGCAUCUACAGAAGAGAGGGUGGCUCUCGAACCCUUGUAUGCUAAUAUCAAUGCCCUAACAGCCCAUGCUCUCUCGGGGAAUUGACCUAACCCGGUGCUGGAUGAGCUGGCGAAUUCAGCCCCUCAGUCUCAGAAACCGGCUUAUGCAUGAAUACACUGGCAAGUUAAAUGAUGACUUGCGCUUCAGUAAGCAUAACUUGUCUUCCAGUGAUCUCAUGAAGGCCAUCAAGAAAAUUCUUGGUGAGACUCGUGAAAAGAUUGCAAUUGUGGGCCUUGCCCCUUUCUUUGCCGGUAACCCGGCACCUGAGGAGAACUCUGAAUGAUGGAAAACUGAACCACAAAUUCCAACUCCUCCAAAGGAUGACGCUCUGGAUGAGAGGGAAGAAGAAGAAGAGGAAUAAAUUGGACCAACAGAGCCGGUGAGACAGAGGUAAACCCUCCAGCCUCUGACUUGGAAACUCUUGGUCAAGGAGAACCCCGGCUUGCGGUACGUAAGGUACCAUUUUCACAUCCAUCAGUUUACUUGGAUAAACACUUAUCUCUGAAGAAAACGCAGCACACUGGAAGUCUGAAGAGGAAGACCCGGAGCAGCUCUGGCAUACUCUCU